CAGAGAGAGUGGUGAGGUGCUGGAACAGGCUGCCCAGAAAGGCUGUGGAUGUUCCAUUCCUGGAGGUGUUCAAGCCCAGAUGUAUAACAAGGAUUUCUUCAUAAGACAGAGGACUGAUGGCAUUUCCUGUUUUUUUGUUUGCUUGCUUGAUUUCAAAACUAAGCAUGUAAUAUAUAUGGACUAUGUGAAAUAGACAUCAUGGUGAAGUAAGCUCAAUUAAUUCAAGAACAUGAUUGUUACAUCCAAAGACCACACAAGACAAUUCCAAGGCAGAAUUGAUCCUAUUGCAUCAGUAACUCCAGCAGAGGAUUAAAGGGAUUAAAGAGUAAGGGAGCUACCUGCACCUACAUCUAACCUCUGAGUGUGUAUACUUCUACUGAUGGUUGGUAGCAUUCACCUGAAACAAAGAACCAGUUUGUCUCCUGGUGAUAGGCAAAUGGUAAAUAAGACUUUGUAUUUGUGUCCAGAAUAACACAAACCUCUUACAACACCAAACUGUUGUUAUAGUAACAAGGAGACAACCAUGCCUUAAAAUAGCCAAUGAUGAGUUGAGAUUAUCAAUAAUAUUUUCCCACCUGAUUUUCAGAGAAGCACCAUUCAAAUGAAUCCAGCUGGCCUGCUCAGCCAUGAUUCUGGUCUUUUGGCUAUCUAACUAGUAUUUUUAAAUGUUAUUCUGAAUAAGAACUCAGAAACUGCCAUUUCUGGAUAAACCUGUGGGAGUGAAUAAACUGAGUGGGAGAACCUGGCUUUACCAUUAGGAGCUGGUGGAAGGUAUGGACUGCUACUUUUUCUUUGCAUUUGAAAGACAAGCAGAAAGUGUUUCUAGAAAAUCAUUUUUUAACUCUUGUAGCAGUCAGAUAGUCUUGCUGUGUACUUCCUAAUAAAUUAAUAAAAAGAAUAUGUUCCUAGAAAUCCAUAUCAGUCCUUUAAUAAGCAAAGAACAUCACGUGUGUGAGAUGCUAAGUACUGAGGGAGCUUAUCACUCUGCAGAAGAGGAUUUUCUGUCUUCUUUCUUGUAGGAGGACUCAGUGAAAGCUCUUGGGCUCCUUGGUUCUCUUCUCAGGCUCCUUCUAUCACAGCACUUGCCUCUAUACAUUUAUUAAAACAAAGUUAUAAGCAAAGACAAAACAUGGACAUCCACAACAGAAAUGCUGAAGCUGAUGGUGAGCAGAUGAAAGAGGUUCUCCCAUGACAGUAUUUUCUAGACUGCCUGCAUACCCAGGGAGAUAGAAGGAGGGUAUGUCUGUGUCUGACUGCAGAAGGGAUAACAAUGACAUGUGCUGAUUUUUGUCCAGUGUCAAGCAGGAGUUCUCCAAGCACUUCAACUGAAGCAGCCAGCAGCAGCAAAAUAAAAAUGAUGUUUUGAUACAAAUCACGUGAAAGAGAUUGUGUUCUCUGCUCCUGCAUAAUUGGAAAGGGGAAAGAACUGGAUGUGAAGCACUUACUCUACAGCAAAAUGUAUAAACACCCUGUGCACACUAUAGAGCAGAUAUUUAUGCAAUAAGAAAUAAAGACAUUUAUCUGUGUAC
Gallus gallus (chicken) is the source of this 1529-nucleotide long non-coding RNA. Lineage: Eukaryota; Metazoa; Chordata; Aves; Galliformes; Phasianidae. The record is from Ensembl.